CCUGUUAGAGAGAUAUUAACUCCUUUAAGAAAUCAGAUGAGAGAAUACAUUGAAAGGCAACUGAAAAUGAGGCAUCCUGAUUUAGUUCAGUGGUUUAGAAUCAGUGAAAUUCCACGUUUGGCAGGGUAUUUCAUUCCUCUUCUAAAGAAGUGGUCCAUGGAAUAUGCAGGAAGCGGUGUUGCAGGAAUUAUUGUGGCAAUAACCUGCUGCACUGCAGUGGUGAAAUUGGGUUCUGG
Neltuma alba is the source of this 236-nucleotide long non-coding RNA. RefSeq lists it as uncharacterized. The record is from RefSeq and is a predicted model, not a curated record. Lineage: Eukaryota; Viridiplantae; Streptophyta; Magnoliopsida; Fabales; Fabaceae. The transcript has 3 exons.